GCUCGAGGUUGGGCGAGCGCGGAAGUAGAGUUCGGGACGGCGGAUCGGAAUCCAUCGACCGAUUCUCUCUUUCUCUCCUCUCCCUUGGAUUCCUGUAGGCGGUGGAUCAAUCUUGCCUUCGUGGUGGCGGCAGAACGAGCGCCGUGAGAUCAGGUGGACCUGCUUCUGCAGAUUCCUCCUGGUGCUUGGGACGUUUUCGGCUAGAUUGAUUUACUAGCUACGUCCAAGCAGGCCACUGGAUUGAUUUCAUGAGGCUUACUAGCUACGUCCCAAUCAAGAUAGCUAGACUUACUAGCUACGUCCCAAGCAGGCCAAUCCAAUAUGUUGAUCAAUUUGAUUGUUCUGGCUGGAGGUCAGGAGGUCAGAAGGUGCGUCCUUCACACUAAAUCGUACCCGAAGUUCUACAAUUAGAAGCUCGCUUCGAGGUCUUGGUGUGGGGCUGCUGGGGAAGGGAAUGUCCUUCUACUUAGUGAAAGUCGUUGUUGCGCUAAAAUGUAGAUGUUAUGAUGACCAAUGACCAUAAACUUUUCUCAAGAAAUCUGGAAAGAAGCGAGGAUUCUCAAGUAAGAUAAGUCUGCUUACAAAAAUUUGCCUACUGGAAAGUAGAUAAGAGACUCAUGAAGUAAGAAUACAUGCCUACAUAUUAUACAUAGCAGGCUUCUGACUUCUCUGAUUCUGCAAGCCUUGAGGCUGUGAAACAUCUAUGCUAGGUCGCCACACUUCUGCCACCUUCAUUUGAUGAGGUUCAGCGUUCACUACUAUGAAAGAAGAAGGCAUAUAUUUUCCUUGUGGAAUUUCCAGUAGAAUGACAGUGAGAACGAGUAAAAAUCUACAACAGUAUGACUGUAUGGUUCUCACUCAAAGUAGAGGCCCAACAAACUUUUUUGAAGUAGGAGUCGAAAACUACAAAUCCAUCUAUUCCUAGAAUGGAGCUGGUUGGAGUUGAGCCUACAAUUGAGCGGGUAGUUCGGUGGCACCGACAUCCAGCUGAAAGUUUUAUAGGAGGGUUAGUAAAGCAAAUUUGUUCAUGAGGAAAUGUGCCAGCAAAACAUUGAGUCAGAGUGCAAGACAAAUGCUCUUAACAGUUUUUUUGGUCGCUUUUCUUUAAUUACAAUUCUUAUUAUUUUUAGUUGGCGUUGAUGUACAAAAGAAAAUCCUGUGCCUUUUUUGUCCUCUCAUUGACCAUUGUAUUUUUGAGUCAUAUCAGUCUAUGUAAAAGAAUUCAGUACCUUAUGUUUUGUAUAUUUGGAAAUGUCUAAAGGCGUGGUGUU
Long non-coding RNA from Triticum aestivum (bread wheat), 1271 nucleotides. RefSeq lists it as uncharacterized. NCBI's taxonomy places the organism in Eukaryota, Viridiplantae, Streptophyta, Magnoliopsida, Poales, Poaceae. The record is from RefSeq and is a predicted model, not a curated record. The transcript has 6 exons.